CCAUUCCGAGAGUAGCAACAAUCGCCUCUAACAUGUUCUAGCUGUAGUUGGUAUUGGUAUUGGUAAUGAUGUAAUCCGUUAGAUUUUUUAAAAUAAUUCUCACAACGUUGCAUUGUCUGUCCCUGUUAGAGGCGCGGCGAGAGGCGAGAGGCGCGGGCGGCGGGCUCCGGCCACAGAAUGUAGGCAAGUGUGACAAGGACACGCCCGUACUCCGCGCUAACACUUCCAUCCAGUUUCUAACGUGCUCGGUGCGCGUUUCGCAACGCUCGCCCGCGCCCGGCCCCACUUCGCCGAUGCACAGUGCACACUCGUGAACGAUUACACCUACCUACAAGGGCAAACCAGUUUGCAAAAUCCAGAUAAAGAGAUUUUGCAAGGCGGCGAGCGGCCAUUAGAAAUGCAGCGGCAGCGGCCUUCCUACCGGCUUGUGGCGAGGUGAGCCGCUACCUCAAGGCAAAAUCAUUGAUAUUUUGUUAAUUUAAUUCCCUGCUCUUUUAUCCCAAUUGUUUUAUAAAUUCUGAACACUUUUC
Long non-coding RNA from Helicoverpa armigera (cotton bollworm), 530 nucleotides. RefSeq lists it as uncharacterized. NCBI's taxonomy places the organism in Eukaryota, Metazoa, Arthropoda, Insecta, Lepidoptera, Noctuidae. The record is from RefSeq and is a predicted model, not a curated record. The transcript is spliced from 2 exons.